Molecule: ribosomal RNA, 811 nt
Filed under: uncultured bacterium
Lineage: Bacteria
Description: bacterial SSU rRNA
Rfam family: Bacterial small subunit ribosomal RNA
Source: RNAcentral
AGAGUUUGAUCCUGGCUCAGGAUGAACGCUGGCGGCGUGCUUAACACAUGCAAGUCGAACGGGGUUAUCAUUUUGAAGCGAUUAGCUUGCUAAGAGUGGAAAAGUUGAUAACUUAGUGGCGGACGGGUGAGUAACGCGUGGGUAACCUGCCUUACACAGGGGGAUAACACUUAGAAAUAGGUGCUAAUACCGCAUAAGCGCACAGUCCCGCAUGGGACAGAGUGAAAAACAUUAGUGGUGUAAGAUGGACCCGCGUCUGAUUAGCUUGUUGGCGGGGUAACGGCCCACCAAGGCGACGAUCAGUAGCCGGCCUGAGAGGGUGGACGGCCACAUUGGGACUGAGACACGGCCCAAACUCCUACGGGAGGCAGCAGUGGGGGAUAUUGGACAAUGGGGGAAACCCUGAUCCAGCGACGCCGCGUGAGUGAAGAAGUAUUUCGGUAUGUAAAGCUCUAUCAGCAGGGAAGAAAGAAAUGACGGUACCUGAGUAAGAAGCCCCGGCUAACUACGUGCCAGCAGCCGCGGUAAUACGUAGGGGGCAAGCGUUAUCCGGAAUUACUGGGUGUAAAGGGAGCGUAGACGGUAAUGCAAGUCUGGAGUGAAAGGCGGGGGCCCAACCCCCGGACUGCUCUGGAAACUGUGUAACUGGAGUGCAGGAGAGGCAGGCGGAAUUCCUAGUGUAGCGGUGAAAUGCGUAGAUAUUAGGAGGAACACCAGUGGCGAAGGCGGCCUGCUGGACUGUAACUGACGUUGAGGCUCGAAAGCGUGGGGAGCAAACAGGAUUAGAUACCCUGGUAGUCCACGCCGUAAA